UAUUUUGACUAUACAAAGGUAUUGUAAUAAGGCUUUAAUUGGGUGCUAAAAGAAUGAAAUUACAAAAAAAGACUUUCUUAAUUUUAAUAAUUAAAAUUAUUUUUUUUUGUGAAGAAACAAAAAUAAAAAUUAAAGACAAGAAGACCCUAAGAAUUUUCUUUUUUACUUAAUAUAAAAUAUUUUAUUUAAAAAUUUAAUUGGGGCGAUUAAUGAAUAUUAAUAACUUUAUAAAGAAAUAAAAUGAUCCAUUAUUAAUGAUUGUUUGAUUAAAAUACUCUAGGGAUAACAGCGUUAUAAUUUUUGAUAGUUCUUAUAGAAAAAAUAGUUUGCGACCUCGAUGUUGGAUUAGGAUUCUUUUUUAAUGAAGAAGUUAAAAAAAGAAGUUUGUUCAACUUUUAAUUUCCUACUUGAUCUGAGU
This 418-nucleotide ribosomal RNA is filed under the name Amblyomma rotundatum. Its description in RNAcentral is "partial 16S ribosomal RNA". The stretch from base 282 to 418 matches the Rfam family "Archaeal large subunit ribosomal RNA", at positions 2542 to 2679 of the family's 2987-position model. Lineage: Eukaryota; Metazoa; Arthropoda; Arachnida; Ixodida; Ixodidae. The record is from RNAcentral.